GUUCUUUUGUGUUUCAUAAGUGUGAUGAUUGGGUUUUUUGCUCGUGUGUGAGAUGUGCCUCCCUCAAACCUUAUUAUGACGUCGGCACAUCACCCAUCUGCCG
Molecule: small nucleolar RNA, 103 nt
Organism: Piliocolobus tephrosceles (Ugandan red Colobus)
Lineage: Eukaryota; Metazoa; Chordata; Mammalia; Primates; Cercopithecidae
Product: small nucleolar RNA U13
Exons: 1
Source: RefSeq, a predicted model, not a curated record